AGCCUGGCAGGCUGGUGCCUUUGGACUGGUUCCCAGUUUGGGGUGCCCCCCUCAGGUCCCCUUUCACACUCCCAGCCAAAACUUCUCUCUGCAGCUAUCCAGACCCUCAGCCCAGGGUUCUGCCAGAGUCUGUUGUCUGCUGGAUUCCCUUGCAGAGUUGACUUCUCAGGUUGCUCCUCCCUGUGUGUCUCGUGCUUUCCCGAAUGUCUGCUCCCCAGUGCUGCUCACAGGGCUCAGGCUGUAAUCUGACUAGCUUCCCCAGCAGAGGGCCCAGCCCUCCUCUCUCUCUGCCUCCUCAUCUUUCUCCCAAAGCUUUCAUUUCUGUUUAUCCCAAAUCCCCUUCCUUACCUGAUCACGAGCCCAGAUGAGACGUAGGGCUCACAGAAGACAGUUCCACACUUCACUUCCUUUUGGUUCUUUUAAUCAGAGCUUUUAAAAGAUAAUAAUAUUGGCAUCUUACAAUACGCUAAGCACUGAACUCCUCUAAUACUGCUCACAACAUCUUCCUUCACUAAGGAAGACACUGAGGCUGGGAGAAGUAACUUGCCUCUGAUUCUACAAAGUGGCAAAGCCGAGAUGGAAGGACAGCCUGGAUUCGGCGUGCUACCCUAUUAUCUCUCGUGGACUUGGAGCCUAGUGUGAAUUCUCAUGACCUGAGGUCCCACUGUUGGGGGUUCCACCAUUUUCCCCAGAAUUUGCUCCAGAUUUUUGGAAAGAAGAAGCAGCUCCACUCUUUAAAGUUGCAUGGGGAAAGAUGUGUUUCUUAAUGACAAGUUUUUGCAGCCAGAGAUCCAAAUAAAAUUAAAAAAUGCUUCUUCCAUUUCUACAAGGAGUGACCAUAUUGGAGGUGAUCCAGUUGACCUAAACCUCACAUGAAAAUCAGGCUCAUUAUGUCAAAUUUCAAUCCCACCUUCUCUGCCUUCUGUGCUCCAUGCCCACUCCAGAGGACAGAAGAGAGUGAAGGCUUGCCCCCACCAAACAGCUAUCCCAGCUCCCCAGGAACUGGUGCACUAAUCUCGGUGACCACCCCCCUCCAAUUUAAGAAAACCUGAAGAAGCCAGUUCUUCUCUCUGAUUCACACAAGCCUUUUUCCCUCAAGAAGCCUCACCACAUAAAACAAUCUCAGCUUGCGAAUACCAACUUCCAUGUUGUUUCCUGCGAGCAGCAGAGCUCGAAGCAUGAUGCUUCACUUUUGCCAGAUUUGGGCCAAUUGGAGAAAGAUACGAGUUCCUCUUUGAGCUUCUUUCCAUCACUUCUGGAGGCAAGCUUUCCAGCUACCAAAACAAAAUGUUUCCUAAUUUUUCCUCCCACACCUAUGAACUUUGUUCCUUGAUUAAGUCCUAGAUUUCCCUAGAAACAGAACUGGACUAUGUCCAAACACUUUCUUCAAGUUCUUCAAACAUUAACUCAACAGAUGUUAUUUCGAGAGGUUUCUGUGUUCUCCCUCACUCUCUUGGCUUUGGAGUUGGUUCUCGAGACGCCAACUGGAAAGUCUGAGGGGUGUUUCAGCAGCAGUUACCCCAUGCCUCACCUCACCCCCAAGCCUCUCUUGCCAGAAGGGCAGGAGAAGGAAGCCCCUUUGUGUGCACAGCAUGGAGCUAUAAGGGAGCAGCAAGGGCACUGUGCUUGCCUCUCAAGACCCAGCAAGGAGCUGUAAGGGAGCAGGUGGAAAGGAUGAGCAAUAGGAUAGGUGGGUCCAAGGAGUGCUCCUGGACUAGAAGAGUCCAGUCAUUUCACAUCUGG
Equus caballus (horse) is the source of this 1743-nucleotide long non-coding RNA. The record is from Ensembl. Lineage: Eukaryota; Metazoa; Chordata; Mammalia; Perissodactyla; Equidae.